Molecule: ribosomal RNA, 497 nt
Filed under: uncultured bacterium
Lineage: Bacteria
Description: partial 16S ribosomal RNA
Rfam family: Bacterial small subunit ribosomal RNA
Source: RNAcentral
GAUGAACGCUGGCGGCGUGCCUAAUACAUGCAAGUCGAGCGAACAGACGAGGAGCUUGCUCCUUUGACGUUAGCGGCGGACGGGUGAGUAACACGUGGGUAACCUACCUAUAAGACUGGGAUAACUUCGGGAAACCGGAGCUAAUACCGGAUAAUAUUUCGAACCGCAUUGUUCGAUAGUGAAAGAUGGCUUUGCUAUCACUUAUAGAUGGACCUGCGCCGUAUUAGCUAGUUGGUAAGGUAACGGCUUACCAAGGCAACGAUACGUAGCCGACCUGAGAGGGUGAUCGGCCACACUGGAACUGAGACACGGUCCAGACUCCUACGGGAGGCAGCAGUAGGGAAUCUUCCGCAAUGGGCGAAAGCCUGACGGAGCAACGCCGCGUGAGUGAUGAAGGUCUUCGGAUCGUAAAACUCUGUUAUUAGGGAAGAACAAACGUGUAAGUAACUGUGCACGUCUUGACGGUACCUAAUCAGAAAGCCACGGCUAACUACGUG